CCAGAUCGUCAGCUAAGGUCCCUAAAUGUAAGUUAAGUGGUAAAGGAUGUGGGAUUGCACAGACAACCAGGAUGUUGGCUUAGAAGCAGCCACUCAUUCAAAGAGUGCGUAAUAGCUCACUGGUCGAGUGAUCCUGCGCCGAAGAUUUCCGGGGCUAAAACUUACUACCGAAGCUACGGCAUCAGUAAUGAUGGGUAGGGGAGCUUCCCAUACGGGUUGAAGCAUGACCGUAAGGACAUGUGGACAGUAUGGGAGUGAGAAUGUUGGCAUGAGUAGCGAGAUGUGGGUGAGAAUCCCACAGGCCGUAAACCCAAGGUUUCCAGGGGAAGGUUCGUCCGCCCUGGGUUAGUCGGGACCUAAGCUGAGGCCGAAAGGCGUAGGUGAUGGACAACAGGUUGAUAUUCCUGUACUACCGAUAACCGUUUGAGAGAAGGGAUGACACAGUAGGAUAAGCUAAGCACACUGUUGGUUAUGUGUGCCCAAGCAUUGAGGCAGUCAAAGUAGGUAAAUCCGCUUUGAUAAUGCUGGGAUGUGAUGGGGAGCGAAAUUUAGUAGCGAAGUAGCUGAUUUCACACUGUCAAGAAAAGUCUCUAUCGAGGUUAAAGGUACCCGUACCGCAAACCGACACAGGUGGGUGAGGAGAGUAUCCUAAGGCCAGCGAGAGAACUGUUGUUAAGGAACUCGGCAAAAUGACCCCGUAACUUAGGGAUAAGGGGUGCCACCAUCAGGUGGCCGCAGAGAAUAGGCCCAAGCGACUGUUUACCAAAAACAUAGGUUUCUGCUAAGUCGCAAGACGAUGUAUAGGAGCUGACGCCUGCCCGGUGCUGGAAGGUUAAGGGGAUCUGUUAGAGCAAUCGAAGCAGUGAACUUAAGCCCCAGUAAACGGCGGCCGUAACUAUAACGGUCCUAAGGUAGCGAAAUUCCUUGUCGGGUAAGUUCCGACCCGCACGAAAGGCGUAACGAUUUGGGCACUGUCUCAACAACAGACUCGGUGAAAUUGUAAUUCCGGUGAAGAUGCCGGAUACCUGCGACAGGACGGAAAGACCCCAUGGAGCUUUACUGUAGCUUGACAUUGGGUCUUGGUACUACAUGUACAGGAUAGGUGGGAGGCUUUGAAACCAGGACGCCAGUUUUGGCGGAGCCAUCCUUGGGAUACCACCCUUGUAGUACUGGGACUCUAACCAUAGGCCAUGAAUCUGGUCUUGGGACACUGUCAGGUGGGCAGUUUGACUGGGGCGGUCGCCUCCCAAAAGGUAACGGAGGCGCUCAAAGGUUCUCUCAGUACGGUCGGAAAUCGUACGUAGAGUGUAAAGGCAAAAGAGAGCUUGAUUGCAAGACAUACAGGUCGAGCAAGGAUGAAAAUCGGACUUAGUGAUCCGGUGGUUCUGCGUGGAAGGGCCAUCGCUCAACGGAUAAAAGCUACCCUGGGGAUAACAGGCUUAUCUCCCCCAAGAGUCCACAUCGACGGGGAGGUUUGGCACCUCGAUGUCGGCUCAUCACAUCCUGGGGCUGUAGUAGGUCCCAAGGGUUGGGCUGUUCGCCCAUUAAAGUGGUACGCGAGCUGGGUUCAGAACGUCGUGAGACAGUUCGGUCCCUAUCCGUCGCAGGCGUAGGAAAUUUGAGAAGACCUGUCCUUAGUACGAGAGGACCGGGAUGGACGUACCUCUGGUGUACCAGUUGUUCUGCCAAGGGCAUGGCUGGGUAGCUAUGUACGGAAUGGAUAAGCGCUGAAAGCAUCUAAGCGCGAAGCCAACUUCAAGAUAAGAUUUCCCACCGCAAGGGUAAGACCCCAGAAAGACUAUCUGGUUGAUAGGUCGAAGGUGUAAGUGCAGCAAUGUAUUUAGCUUAUCGAUACUAAUAGGUCGAGGACUUGACCAA
Molecule: ribosomal RNA, 1878 nt
Filed under: Clostridioides difficile
Lineage: Bacteria; Bacillati; Bacillota; Clostridia; Peptostreptococcales; Peptostreptococcaceae
Description: bacterial LSU rRNA
Rfam family: Bacterial large subunit ribosomal RNA
Source: RNAcentral